Molecule: ribosomal RNA, 253 nt
Filed under: uncultured bacterium
Lineage: Bacteria
Also listed under: 1 other name
Description: partial 16S ribosomal RNA
Rfam family: Bacterial small subunit ribosomal RNA
Source: RNAcentral
UACGGAGGGAGCUAGCGUUGUUCGGAAUUACUGGGCGUAAAGCGUACGUAGGCGGUUAUUCAAGUCAGAGGUGAAAGCCCGGGGCUCAACCCCGGAACUGCCUUUGAAACUAGGUAGCUAGAAUCUUGGAGAGGUCAGUGGAAUUCCGAGUGUAGAGGUGAAAUUCGUAGAUAUUCGGAAGAACACCAGUGGCGAAGGCGACUGACUGGACAAGUAUUGACGCUGAGGUACGAAAGCGUGGGGAGCAAACAGG